This is a long non-coding RNA of Mytilus californianus (California mussel), 805 nucleotides long. RefSeq lists it as uncharacterized. The transcript has 2 exons. NCBI's taxonomy places the organism in Eukaryota, Metazoa, Mollusca, Bivalvia, Mytilida, Mytilidae. The record is from RefSeq and is a predicted model, not a curated record.
GUCGACUCUUUUAAAGUGUCCUUGAAUUUUUUUGUUGUUUACUACAACAUGAUUGCUAGUAUAUAUAGUAUAUGAUUUAACUUGAAGCUUGUCAGUAUUGGACACUGAAGUAUAUACUACACAAGUUCAAUGACAUCUAGUAACAUAGAAUUCCUGCGGGAAAAGUGGAGUUACUGGUUUGACACACUGGACGUAAAUCACGAUGGAAUUAUUACACAGGCGGAUGUUGACUAUACGCUAAAACAGUUUCCUCUUGUUGAAGGUCUCAGCAAAAAAGAGGGAAAGAUUGCUGAUGAUCAGAUAGAGAAAUGGUGGAAUACAUACAUUCUCAAAGGAAAGAAUGACAUUUCAAAAGAAGAAUUCCUUGAUGACUUCGAGAAAGAAUAUGCAGAAAAUAAAACCAAUUUCAAUGCGACAAUUAAAUCAUUAUGUGAGGACAUGACAGAUAUAAUCGAUGCCGACAAAACCAAAAUGAUUUCUUUAGACAACUAUGUGAAAGCUUUUAAAGCUGUUGGCCUUGACAACGAAACAGUACUCCAGAAAGCAUUUGCGCAUUACAAACCAAGCCAUGGCAUAAUUCCCAUCCAAGAGUAUAUUGAUGACUGGGUUGUAUUCAUUACUAAUGACGAUCCUUCAAAACCCGAUUGUGUGUAUGAUGUGUACAAAAAUGGACUUAUGCAAUAAAUCGUUGAAAAACAAGUACGCUACAUGCCAUAUUCCGAGAUGGAUUGAUUUGGUCCUGCUUGUAAACAUUUGUAAUCUUUUCAUUUUAGCAUUUUAAGACAUUAAAAUGGCUUUGAUUUAA